Molecule: long non-coding RNA, 913 nt
Organism: Pseudophryne corroboree (corroboree frog)
Lineage: Eukaryota; Metazoa; Chordata; Amphibia; Anura; Myobatrachidae
Exons: 3
Source: RefSeq, a predicted model, not a curated record
GGGCUGGCACCUAUAUAUAUAUAGUUACAGUACAGCUGCCAUAAUGGGUUUAUAUAGUACUAUCUUACCUCCCAAAAAUACACAUAAGCCCACAUUGUCCCAGCUGGGCUCUGGACACCAGAGCAAAGGGAAGGAGGAUCUGACUUCGGCACGUCUUAGGAUGCCUACACAUACCGUAGAGGAGUAUUCAAAGCAAGGCAUAAAACGGAGACAGUGACACAGGAUACGAGUGCUGUAGUGGAACUGAAGCCGCGCUUGAUGCUUCCUAUCAGGUGACGCGGUCACACUCCGCUCCCAGCUGUCAGGCAGACGCCCAGUAACGGCGUCUGGAAUUUCAGGGCUGACGCGUUUCUCCCAAAGAAAACUUAUGAUGCCGAUCUUAUGCGCAUUGAGGGAUGAUGUUGUGAGUUUUGCUUCCUGGUGACCUGUACUGACCCUUCUGUACACACUGACCAUUGCCAUACUAUACAUGUUUGCUUGCAGUUAAUAUACAGUAAGUUUCCUACUUCUUAAAUUUGGCAACUGUCUUGUCACUUGCCGGUAAGGUUGCAGGUGAUGGAGAGCUAGCAGUCGUAAAUGGCCCUUAGCAAUGACUACAUCGUGUUUAUUUGGCCGCAAGCAGUAGUGCUGAGGUGGAGUCUCUGGACUAAUAUUUAAUUUUGCCUUUACAAAGAAAUUGGCGUAGCAGACCCCAUUCACGGGAACAUAUUAAACCCAAGCUUCAUGUGACGUUUUCUGAGCCUAUAGACCUAUUCCCAUGUGGUUUAAUGAGUAUUAGUAGAAAAAGACAAUUGGAAAUAGCACAUACAUUAACAGGAUAUAUUACUCUCCCGAAAACACACACAGGAGCCCAAAAAAUAGUCCUCAAUAUCCCAAAGCAGCCGGGGAUGGAUGGGUUGUUGGGUAGGUGGUU